RNAcentral lists this long non-coding RNA (2344 nucleotides) under Ovis aries (sheep). RNAcentral describes it as "lncRNA (ENSOARG00000026176.1)". Lineage: Eukaryota; Metazoa; Chordata; Mammalia; Artiodactyla; Bovidae. The record is from RNAcentral.
AGAUGAAAGUCAUAUCAUUUGCAAUUUGAUGCAGCUUUCUUUAGAAUUUCUUGAUGACUCCAAGGUGGUUUAUAUGCUAGUGCACCUGUUGCAUGUAAUCAGGUUUUAUUAGAUAAAUAAGCAUCAAGCCCUUUGCAUGCUCUCCUUCACUACUCAUCUUCUCAAAGGGCCACUUGCAGUGGGGAAAAGCAGCCUUUAUUAUAGCUGCUUUGCAUAAUAAGGCUGUCUCUCCCUUCUUCUGCCUCCUCACCUCCCACCAGGAGGAAAUAUUGCAUCUGUCUCUCUUUGAGGGCAUUCAGGCUGGAUGGCCUUGUGAUAAAGCACAGAAGUUGGAGGCAUAUAAAUCUAACACAUAUCAGUUAAAAAUAAUCAUCUCAGACUAGGUUCACGAUAUGCUGCUCGGGUUCUGUGUUUUAUCUUAUUCCUGGAAACAAGAGCUGCUGCUAACAUUAAAAACACAGCUUCUUAUAAUAGUGUCUUAUCUCCUCCCUUAAUUGCCCAGACAAAGCUGGAGAGAAACUGGGUCACUCAUUCACCGGGUUUAAGUUUACAUGGGAACCUGCUGGUUUUCUUUGUCAUAGGCUCCGAGGUAGCUAAGGCUGUUGCUAACCUCAUAUAUCAUGACAACGUCGCCCUGGGAAUCCCGGUGUCCUCAGAGAUCCUGUCAUGGCUCACAGUGAGCCAGAGGAGCCCGUGAACGCACACAGAGAAGAGUGCAAAUCCAUCACUGUGACUGAACUGGCAAUUUCAAUGUCAGGCCCUCUGAUUGGGUCAAUGGCCCCGGCCUCCAGCGUGAGUGAUGGCUUAUUCGUUCAUUUGGCAGAGCUCUCCCCUGACCCUGAACACCGAGGAUGAGUAAGCUCGUCUCCAGGUGAGACUCAGAAGGCCUGGAUGCUAAAAGCCUUACCAUCACCCACACAGUUCAUUGCACAACUUCCUGACUUCUACAACUCCAGUACCCUCCUCCUUUUCCUCCGAAGCUGCAAGGUUCUGCUUGUGCCAUGGGAGGAGGCCGGAAGGGCGUCCAAGAAGGCCAGUUGGCAGUGCCCUCCACACUGCAGUGAACAGCUUCACAGAGUUUGGGAGGGCCGGUCCUACGAUGGUGGAAGAAUAGGACGGGGAGACCACUCUCUCCCCCACAAAUUCAUCAAAAGAUCAUUUGAAUGCUGAGCAACUGCCACAAAGCAACUUCUGAACGCUGGCGGAGGACACCAGGCACCCAGAAAGGCAGCCCAUUCCUCUCUUGGAAAGGAGGUAGGACAAAAUAUAAAAGACAAAAAGAGACACAGAAGAGUUAAGGAUGGAGACCCGUCCUGGGGAGGGAGUCGUGAAGGAGAAGACAUUUCCAAACAGCAGGAAACCCUUUCACCAGCGGGUCUGUGGGGAGUUUUGGAAUCUCAGAGGGCAACAUAACCAGGAGGGAAAAAAAACAACCACAGAAGAGGGUUUGGAAAUUAAGGAUCGAGUUGUAAUGGGAAUUCUGUGACAUCUGAGGAUGUUCUCCUCAAUACUGCCAGCUGUAGUGCUAACAGGAAAAAUAAUCACAUUUAAAUAUUUACUCUCUAUCAGGCAUUGUGUAAAGUGCUUUACAUGUAUUAGGUAUCAUCUCACUUAAACACAACAACCCUUUGAAAUGCUUCCUAUUAUUACCUUCAUUUUAUAAAUUAGAAAACAGACUAAGAUGUUAUGUGCUCGAGAGCUGCGGGUUGAACCCAGGGAGAUGGGCCCCUCCAGUGCCCGUGGCUUCAGCCACUGCUGGGAGAGAAUUCUCUAAGGAUCUCCUGUAUUUCUGUUUGUAUUGUGAACAGAGGAACUGACUGCCCUAUUCUGAAUGAUCUUUACAAGGAGUUUAAAUAAUGAAGAACCUUAGGAGAUACUGUCCAGUAUAAUAAUAAUUUGGGUUUCCCUGGUGGCUCAGAUGGUGCAGGAUCUGCCUAUAAGGCAGGAGACCCAGGUUUGAUCCCUGGAUUGGGAAGAUACUCUGGAGAAAGGAACGCCUACCCGGUCCAGUAAUCUUGCCUGGAAAAUCCCAUGGACAGAGGAGCUUGGUGGGCUUUAGUCCAUGGGGUCACAAGAGGCGGACAUAACUUAGAAACUGAGCUAUCAAAUAAUAAGAUAAUAUCUCAUAAUAAUUUAUCUUGUAUUUUAUAAUAAGAAAAUAAUCUCUCUCUCUGGGCCAGAGGUUAAAAAGGCCUGCUGUCCACUAUAGAAGAUGCAGAUUCCCUAACCUCAGGAUUCCUCUCCUGUAAUGCAACUCACUGUGCAGACAUCGACUGGCCCUCAUUAAUCACCUUCUGGGAGUGAUGGUAGGGUAACUGGCACAAAUGCGGACCCUCUGGCUACU